Ophiophagus hannah (king cobra) is the source of this 46-nucleotide non-coding RNA. Lineage: Eukaryota; Metazoa; Chordata; Lepidosauria; Squamata; Elapidae. The record is from Rfam.
GAAUAGGAUUUUUUAAAAUCCAACCAUAAUGACUUAUUAAAUGAGG